Molecule: ribosomal RNA, 450 nt
Filed under: uncultured bacterium
Lineage: Bacteria
Description: partial 16S ribosomal RNA
Rfam family: Bacterial small subunit ribosomal RNA
Source: RNAcentral
GCUAAGAAUAUUCCGCAAUGGACGAAAGUCUGACGGAGCGACGCCGCGUGGAUGAGGAAGGCCGAAAGGUUGUAAAGUCCUUUUGUCGAUGAAGAAUAAGUGGUGGAGGGAAUGCCAUCAUGAUGACGUUAGUCGGCGAAUAAGCCCCGGCUAAUUACGUGUCAGCAGCCGCGGUAACACGUAAGGGGCAAGCGGUGUUCGGAAUUAUUGGGCGUAAAGGGUACGUAGGCGGUUAUGUAAGUCCGGCGUGAAAUCCUGCAGCUUAACUGUAGAGCUGCGCUGGGAACUGCGUAACUUGAGUCAUGGAAGGGAAGUUAGAAUUCCAGGUGUAGGGGUGAAAUCUGUAGAUAUCUGGAAGAAUACCGGUGGCGAAGGCGAACUUCUGGCCAAUGACUGACGCUGAGGUACGAAAGUGCGGGGAGCAAACAGGAUUAGAAACCCUGGUAGUCC